RNAcentral lists this ribosomal RNA (1230 nucleotides) under Triticum aestivum (bread wheat). Its description in RNAcentral is "partial small subunit ribosomal RNA". Lineage: Eukaryota; Viridiplantae; Streptophyta; Magnoliopsida; Poales; Poaceae. The record is from RNAcentral.
AUGGGCUGGGUGCAGGACCCUCAUAUUCAAGAGCUGCUUCUCAAGCAGACGGAUAACGCAAGAGCUGCCGCCCGAGAGAAAGCCAAGCUGGAUCAACUGGAGAUAGACGCGGUUACUCCAUUGUAUGAAGGAUGCAGGCCCGAGGAUACCCGCCUGAAAGUAACGCUCAUGACUCUAGAGAUGAAGGUAAAACACAAAAUGACCGACGCAUGCUUCGACGAGAACAUGUCAUUCUGGCACGAACGUCUUCCCAAGGGGAACAAGUGCCCGACCAGUUUCGAGGAGGCGAAGAAAAUCGUGUGUCCUCUGGAUUUACCGCACGUGAAAUACCAUGUGUGCAUGAACAAUUGCAUCAUUUAUCAGGACGAGCACGCGGAGUCUACCAUAUGUCUGGUGUGCGGCGUCACUCGAUACAAGAAGAGGAAGAAAGCUCCUCGAAAAGUGGUGUGGUACUUUCCGAUCACUCCUCGUCUGCAGCGGUAUUUCGCGGACCCUAAGGUAGCAAAGCUCUUGCUUUGGCACGCGGAUAGGGAGGAGAAGAAGCGAGAAGAUGACGCAAAUAAUCCGGAGAUAAAUAAAAAAUACAAGAUGCUGAGUCACCCUAAGGAUGGGAGCCAGUGGCAAGCGUUGAACUUCGAACACCCAGAAUUUGGGAACGAUCCAAGGAACAUCGUGCUGGGCACGAGCACCGAUGGAGUCAAUCCGUUUGGCAUCCAGAGAAGCACACAUAGCACCUGGCCUGUGUUUGUGUGGAUGUACAACCUUCCCCCCUGGUUGUGCAUGAAGAGGAAGUACAUUCACAUGAGUAUGCUAAUUGAAGGGCCGAAACAACCAGGGAACGACAUCAAUAUGUAUCUGGGGCUGCUGAAAGAGGAGCUAGACACGCUGUGGAAAACGCCAGCCAAUACGCGGGACGCCGCAGAGAAAGAAUAUUUCCCUAUGAGAGCCGCACUGCUCACGACGGUGCACGACUAUCUCGGUUACGGAUAUGUCGCGGGGCAGGUGGUCCACGGAUUUUCUGGAUGCGUCAGGUGCAUGGAUGACACAACGUAUCGCCAGCUAGAUAGAGAUCCCGGGUCUUCGAAAACCAUGUUCAUGGGACAUCGAAGGUGGCUUCGCGAUGAUGACUCAUGGAGGAAACGCAAGGAUCUGUUCGAUGGUGAAACCGAAACCCGAAGAUGCCCGCGUACGAGGAGCGGCAAGGAAAUAGACGAGCUAUUGAAAAAUUAG